GACGAACGCUGGCGGCGUGCUUAACACAUGCAAGUCGAACGGAAAGGCCCUGCUUUUGUGGGGUGCUCGAGUGGCGAACGGGUGAGUAACACGUGAGUAACCUGCCCUUGACUUUGGGAUAACUUCAGGAAACUGGGGCUAAUACCGGAUAGGAGCUCCUGCUCCAUGGUGGGGGUUGGAAAGUUUCGGCGGUUGGGGAUGGACGCGCGGCUUAUCAGCUUGUUGGUGGGGUAGUGGCUUACCAAGGCUUUGACGGGUAGCCGGCCUGAGAGGGUGACCGGCCACAGUGGGACUGAGAUACGGCCCAGACUCCUACGGGAGGCAGCAGUGGGGAAUAUUGCACAAUGGGCGGAAGCCUGAUGCAGCAACGCCGCGUGCGGGAUGACGGCCUUCGGGUUGUAAACCGCUUUCGCCUGUGACGAAGCGUGAGUGACGGUAAUGGGUAAAGAAGCACCGGCUAACUACGUG
Molecule: ribosomal RNA, 468 nt
Filed under: uncultured bacterium
Lineage: Bacteria
Description: partial 16S ribosomal RNA
Rfam family: Bacterial small subunit ribosomal RNA
Source: RNAcentral